CCUACGGGAGGCAGCAGUGGGGGAUAUUGCACAAUGGGGGAAACCCUGAUGCAGCGACGCCGCGUGGGCGAAGAAGUAUUUCGGUAUGUAAAGCUCUAUCAGCAGGGGAGAAGACAUGACGGUACCUGAGUAAGAAGCACCGGCUAAAUACGUGCCAGCAGCCGCGGUAAUACGUAUGGUGCAAGCGUUAUCCGGAUUUACUGGGUGUAAAGGGAGCGCAGGCGGCACGGCAAGCCUGAUGUGAAAGCCCGAGGCCCAACCGCGGGACUGCAUUUGGAACUAUCGGGCUGGAGUGCCGGAGAGGUAGGCGGAAUUCCUGGUGUAGCGGUGAAAUGCGUAGAGAUUAGGAGGAACACCAGUUGCGAAGGCGGCCUAC
This 376-nucleotide ribosomal RNA is filed under the name uncultured bacterium. Its description in RNAcentral is "partial 16S ribosomal RNA". It matches the Rfam family "Bacterial small subunit ribosomal RNA", at positions 338 to 729 of the family's 1533-position model. The record is from RNAcentral.